GCAUAUCAAUAAGCGGAGGAAAAGAAACCAACAGGGAUUGCCUCAGUAACGGCGAGUGAAGCGGCAACAGCUCAAAUUUGAAAUCUGGCCGCAAGGUCCGAGUUGUAAUUUGUAGAGGAUGCUUUUGGCGAGGUGCCUUCCGAGUUCCCUGGAACGGGACGCCAUAGAGGGUGAGAGCCCCGUACGGUCGUGCCACCGAGCCUCUGUAAAGCUCCUUCGACGAGUCGAGUAGUUUGGGAAUGCUGCUCUAAAUGGGAGGUGUACGUCUUCUAAAGCUAAAUACCGGCCAGAGACCGAUAGCGCACAAGUAGAGUGAUCGAAAGAUGAAAAGCACUUUGAAAAGAGGGUUAAAAAGUACGUGAAAUUGUUGAAAGGGAAGCAUUCAUGACCAGACUUGGGCUUGGUUGAACAUCCGGCGUUCUCGCCGGUGCACUCUGCCAGCUCAGGCCAGCAUCAGUUUGCCCCGGGGGAUAAAGGCGGCGGGAAUGUGGCUCCCCUCGGGGAGUGUUAUAGCCCGUCGUGCAAUGCCCUGGGGCGGACUGAGGUUCGCGCUCGAGCAC
This 560-nucleotide small RNA is filed under the name Sarocladium implicatum. RNAcentral's name for it is "eukaryotic LSU rRNA". It matches the Rfam family "Eukaryotic large subunit ribosomal RNA", at positions 38 to 608 of the family's 3401-position model. Lineage: Eukaryota; Fungi; Ascomycota; Sordariomycetes; Hypocreales; Sarocladiaceae. The record is from RNAcentral.